GGUAGUGGCGGACGGGUGAGUAACACGUAAGUAACCUGCCCGGAAGUGGGGAAUAACUAGCCGAAAGGCUGGCUAAUACCGCAUGUGAAGGCUUUUCCUCGGGAGAGUCUUGAAAGGUGUAAAUCGCUUCCGGAGGGGCUUGCGGUCGAUUAGCUUGUUGGUGGGGUAAUGGCCUACCAAGGCGACGAUCGAUAGCUGGUCUGAGAGGACGGUCAGCCACACGGGGACUGAGAUACGGCCCCG
RNAcentral lists this ribosomal RNA (243 nucleotides) under uncultured bacterium. RNAcentral's name for it is "partial 16S ribosomal RNA". It matches the Rfam family "Bacterial small subunit ribosomal RNA", at positions 91 to 334 of the family's 1533-position model. The record is from RNAcentral.